Molecule: ribosomal RNA, 3262 nt
Filed under: Triticum aestivum (bread wheat)
Lineage: Eukaryota; Viridiplantae; Streptophyta; Magnoliopsida; Poales; Poaceae
Description: partial small subunit ribosomal RNA
Source: RNAcentral
UGUGUGCAACGCUAGGGGAGCUGGAGCUGCAAUCGCGGCGGCUAGAGCACCUCCUCUGGGGCAGCCUAGAUCGACGGCGACCUGCUGAGCUCUUCUGGGGCGGCCUAGAGCGGGAGCAGUAGUCAAGACAUAGCGGCAGCAGCACCGGUGCCAUUUCGGCGGCAGGGGCGGCGCCUAGGGGAGGCCUUAUGGGGCGGCUAGCGGCGGCGUCCGGCCAAAGUUGGGGUCCCCACCACCUGCAUGCUGCGCCUCCGCAGGGUCCACGGUGACAUGUCCCUCGGCCACACGCUCAAGGACUGCCUCGUCCACUGGACGUACGCGUUGCCGGCCGCGCUGCUGAGCAUGGUCGCCACCGCGACCGUCGGAAGGAGGACGCUGGAGGGGUCCAAGUUGCGCGCCAACGACGACCUCGCCGACGCCUUGUUCUCCGACUACAAGCACCCCCUGAGCGACUUCAGCUACAACACGGACCACAGCCAGCCGCUAGGGCAGCGCGCCGGUUUUCAGGGACCGGUUCAAGCACCCCGGGUUGCCGAGAGAGUUACACAAGUACCGCCGCCUAAUGUUGCGCUGCCACCUCAAGAUGACCCUCGAGGUUGAGCCUGCUGGGCGUCCGCGUGCACGACCUGGGCAGUAGCGGACCGCCAGGUAAGGGUUCGUGCGGGCCGUGACAACUCGGCGGGUGAAGGAGCAGAAGUUGCUCUACUUUCACAACUUCUUAGGAGCCCGCAACGGCCUGUUCAUGUGCUCACGUUCGUGUUGCAUUGUAUAAACCCGUUUGGCCGGUAAGAUGCACAAACCAGAACCUAGCCGUUCGAUGUAGUUGCCACAGUCCAAGAGAUCGAUCCAGGUCUUCUUACUUCCUCAUGUACGGUAUCUAGCUAAAGCACCACCUAUGUCCUCCACACUAGGUGAAGUGGUACGACCUGGGCUUCCCGCGUUUCAGAUAGAGUACUUGAUCGGCACGUAGAACGAGUUGUGGAAAGGUAUAUACAUGUUAGUCCGUCCAUAAAGGAGCGCAUGCGCCAACGACCGACGAUCUAAUUUGAAGACAAAGUCUCGCAAGGUCCAAUACACUCACGUACAAACUGGUUAACGUCAAAUAGGGCCGAUUCCAAGAUGUAACGUACGGAGUUUAUGGACUAGUACACCGAAGGAAAGCAAUCGAAACUCAUGAGUUACAUCUCCAAAGGGAAGAACUCAGUAUGUAUGGAGUUUAGCUAUCAAGAGAGAUUGAAGUGUUUAUAAACCACGCACAUAUAUAGUGAAAUAAAUCCUUUAUGAGUUUAACGUCUCAAACAAAGUAACAAUUAGUGAACUUAUUGAACCUAAUGAGACUUUAGUCUGAGGGAAAAGCUUCGUGUUAUCCUGAGGAAAAAUAUCUGUGUAAAGUUGAUACCACGAUUAUAGAAGAAAAGACCCUUCACGAUAUAUACAAUUCUAAGGAGGUGGUACAGAUGGUGUGGAGAGUAGGAAAAGAUUCUACAACUGAUGACUUAUUACUGGGUUCAAUUGUUCUAACCGUCUCCAAGAUAGAGUAUGUGAUUUAGACAGUAGCUUGGGUAGUACGUAACGUUCCAAACUAUUAACAACAGUUAAGUCUUCCCCCUAAACGGAGUAACUUCUAUGUCUAUUUUCUAAAAGACUGGAGUAUAGCUAAGAAUGAAGGUAAGGAGUACACAGGAUACAGAGUGCAGAGAAUGUGCCCGUCUUGCUGGACCCGGCAUCUAAUAUGCCACUUGCUCCCGCCACCGUCGUGAUCUCACUCCGUACCGACCAACUCCUUAUAAAAAAAAUUUAGUAAAUGAAUGUCUGAUUACAAACGAUACGAAGAAAAUCACUUGCGAACAUAAAACAAACUCUCGUAUAGUACCCACGUGACGAUUAAAUUAUUAGAAUCGUUACAUUACAAUUAGGUGGAUUAUACUAUAUUAUCGAUUUUGAUCGUCUGUACGAAGGCAGAAGUACCACGAUACCAUAAUUAGUAAACCAUCAUUUAAACGAUUGGGUCUAGGAGUUUAGACGAAAAAAAGAUCUUGAGAUGUAGAGCUUCAGACUCCGUGACCGUAUGAAUCGGUACGGUAAUUCUUCGGUUUAGGUAUCCAACGCUCGCUCUACAAGCAGGCGUGACAACGGACGGACGGACGGACACUUCGAAGCGGUGGUACGCUUUGGGAAAGUUCGACGAGCUACAUGAGAAGAAAGAAGACUAACGUACAAAACAUAUACACCCACGAGCAUCAUACAUAAUCCCAAUUAACUAGCAAACUAAGUCGGUAUCAUAACUGCGGCGUGCAUGUUGGACAAGGUCUAUAUAAAGAUCUUAUUGGGCACAGAUAUAUCCAAGUUCUGAUAAUGUCAGGUACAGUAAAACCAUGAACAUACAAGUAUGCCGGUUGGUAACCGGUCAUCAACCAACACGUCGUCCUCUACUAUACUGAAGUCAAGAAGAAGUGUAUUUGUAGAGGUAGGAAUAAAAAAGAAGUAUGCCGGUUGGUAACCGGUCCAAGAUGAUAAGACUUCAUUGACUUAAAUAGAAUAAAGUAAACUAAUCAUGACAACCCGACGACCGUCAAUAACAAGUCUUCGGACUAACAUAUAAUUACCACUUGAAACCGACAGAAAUAGGGUUAAAUUCUACAAUACCACGAUGUGUUGACAUAUAUCGCACUAUACCUCCUUGGUUUUCACGGUCUUCGUAGAGAAGUAAUUUGUAAGUCCCUACUUUGAAAAAACCGUAUACUGUUUUAAAACAAUUUCCAUAAACACAAUAACUAGUAUUGAUGCAUGUAUUGUUACGCUGUGUUAUAUUAAACCGUAAAAGUUUCGAUCGUGUACCUCGCCGUUCUCUCUCCUCUCCUCGAUGCCACCGGUCCAUUGAGCUCCUACCUCCCCUUAACCACAUCUUAUUCGGACGUGAGAAGUUCUUUUAUGUAUCCUAUUAAUACUUUGUUCUACUUGUUUGUCGAUUCGAUCGACUCCUCGCUAGAGGUCGUCGAGGGGCCAACGGUCACCAGUUUCUAACAGACGACUUUCUGUUUGUUCACUAGUACAAGAUCGUAACAACUUUCCUCAUCACUUACGACUACAUACAUGUAAAAAACAAGUCACAUAACCUUCACGUUUAAACAUAUAUGAAAUGAUCGUAAUAAAUGACCUAAAAUUGUAUAAACUAUAUAACCUAAAAUGAUCGUGUAUACGGGAACGCAACGUUGCCCUUUCUUUUAAUCCCAAUACACGUUAGUGUUACCAAGUAUCGCUU